ACUGCUCAGUAACACGUGGACAAUCUGCCCUGAAGUGGAGAAUAAUCCCGGGAAACUGGGGGUAAUACUCCAUAGUUCGUUAUUACUGGAAUGUUUUUCGAACGAAAGAUCCGUCGCUUCAGGAUGAGUCUGCGGCCGAUUAGGUAGUUGUUGGGGUAAUUGCCCAACAAGCCUGUAAUCGGUACGGGUUGUGGGAGCAAGAGCCCGGAGAUGGAUUCUGAGACACGAAUCCAGGCCCUACGGGGCGCAGCAGGCGCGAAAACUUUACCAUGCGGGCAACCGUGAUAAGGGAACCUCGAGUGCCAGGUUACAAAUCUGGCUGUCGAGAUGCCUAAAAAGCAUUUCAUAGCAAGGGCCGGGCAAGACCGGCGCCAGCCGCCGCGGUAACACCGGCGGCUCGAGUGGUAACCGUUAUUAUUGGGUCUAAAGGGUCUGUAGCCGGCCGGAUAAGUCUCUUGAGAAAUCUGGCAGCUUAACUGUCAGGCUUUCAGGAGAUACUGUCUGGCUCGAGGCCGGGAGAGGUGAGAGGUACUUCAGGGGUAGGGGUGAAAUCUUGUAAUCCUUGAAGGACCACCAGUGGCGAAGGCGUCUCACCAGAACGGACCUGACGGCAAGGGACGAAAGCUAGGGGCACGAACCGGAUUAGAUACCCGGGUAGUCCUAGCCGUAAACGAUACUCGCUAGGUGUCGGCCACGGUGCGACCGUUGUCGGUGCCGUAGGGAAGCCGUGAAGCGAGCCACCUGGGAAGUACGGCCGCAAGGCUGAAACUUAAAGGAAUUGGCGGGGGAGCAC
This 793-nucleotide ribosomal RNA is filed under the name uncultured archaeon. RNAcentral's name for it is "bacterial SSU rRNA". It matches the Rfam family "Archaeal small subunit ribosomal RNA", at positions 85 to 879 of the family's 1478-position model. The record is from RNAcentral.